CUACCCGCUCCGCGAGUGGUGAGGACUAUUACUGGGCUUAAAGCGCCCGUAGCCGGCCGGGUGUGUCCUCCGUUAAAUCCACAGGCCUAACCUGUGGGCUGCGGGGGAUACUACCCGGCUUGGGGGUGGGAGAGGGCGGCGGUAUUCCCGGGGUAGGGGUAAAAUCCACUGAUCCCGGGAGGACCACCAGUGGCGAAGGCGGCCGCCCAGAACACGCCCGACGGUGAGGGGCGAAAGCUGGGGGAGCAAACGGGAUUAGAAACCCCAGUAGUCC
RNAcentral lists this ribosomal RNA (274 nucleotides) under uncultured bacterium. Its description in RNAcentral is "partial 16S ribosomal RNA". It matches the Rfam family "Archaeal small subunit ribosomal RNA", at positions 473 to 747 of the family's 1478-position model. The record is from RNAcentral.